RNAcentral lists this ribosomal RNA (408 nucleotides) under uncultured Escherichia sp. Its description in RNAcentral is "bacterial SSU rRNA". It matches the Rfam family "Bacterial small subunit ribosomal RNA", at positions 780 to 1188 of the family's 1533-position model. Lineage: Bacteria; Pseudomonadati; Pseudomonadota; Gammaproteobacteria; Enterobacterales; Enterobacteriaceae. The record is from RNAcentral.
AGAUACCCUGGUAGUCCACGCCGUAAACGAUGUCGACUUGGAGGUUGUGCCCUUGAGGCGUGGCUUCCGGAGCUAACGCGUUAAGUCGACCGCCUGGGGAGUACGGCCGCAAGGUUAAAACUCAAAUGAAUUGACGGGGGCCCGCACAAGCGGUGGAGCAUGUGGUUUAAUUCGAUGCAACGCGAAGAACCUUACCUGGUCUUGACAUCCACGGAAGUUUUCAGAGAUGAGAAUGUGCCUUCGGGAACCGUGAGACAGGUGCUGCAUGGCUGUCGUCAGCUCGUGUUGUGAAAUGUUGGGUUAAGUCCCGCAACGAGCGCAACCCUUAUCCUUUGUUGCCAGCGGUCCGGCCGGGAACUCAAAGGAGACUGCCAGUGAUAAACUGGAGGAAGGUGGGGAUGACGUCAA